AUUACAACCAUCAACCUGGAGACAUGAUUUAUUGGAAAAAACACUUGCACAAAGGUUCUCUCCAGUCUCACUGGAAGGGACCAUACAAGAUAUUGCUAAUCAACCUUUACACCAUUAAAUUAGAAGGCACCGAUUCAUGUUUCUUAUUUUUUAAAAAGGCUCUCAUAUCCAGCUGGACUACUAAAUCAACUGGAGACCUCAAAUUGACUAUAUUCUGAAAGAAGAAGCAGACAACAUCUGAAUACACUGCUUUCCUGAAAGUCAGGACCAGUUUUUCUUCCAGCUUUCAUCUCCUUUGGUACCUAGAGUGGUUAAUGUUAUUAUUCAAAUAUAUCAAUCAUUAGUGGAUUGGCCAUAAUUCCUCUACUAAAAGUUUGCAAAAGAGGGAGAGAGAGAAUCCCAAGCAGGUGUCAUGUUCAGCAUGGAAGCUGAUGUGGGGCUGGAUUGCACAAACGUGAGAUAAUAACCUGAGCUGAAAUUGAGUCUGAUGCUCAACUGCUUAAGCCACCCAGGUACCCCUGAUAUCCAUCUUGGUGAACAAGUUUCCCUGGAUUGUAUUUUGAAUAGGCUGUUUGCUCCUUAGAUAAGAGAGGCUCCAUUUGAAUCAGGAUUCCAGAGGAAAAGCAAGGAUGUACAAUGCCUUCUAGAAGGAGAAUAAGGAGUGGACGUAUCCUAAUGCAGCUUCUCAUGAGAUAGCAAGAGGAACACAUCUUUGCCCCUAACAUCAGCAAGCUUGAGUGCCAGUGCCUUCAAGUAUCAUUGUUAUCAUGUGGUGUCAUUAUUAAUAACGGCUAAUUGUUUACCCUGUACCUGCUAGGUAACAUGUCCUAAUAAAGGUUACAGAAUCUCA
This is a long non-coding RNA of Acinonyx jubatus (cheetah), 850 nucleotides long. RefSeq lists it as uncharacterized. NCBI's taxonomy places the organism in Eukaryota, Metazoa, Chordata, Mammalia, Carnivora, Felidae. The record is from RefSeq and is a predicted model, not a curated record. The transcript has 4 exons.